This 526-nucleotide ribosomal RNA is filed under the name uncultured bacterium. RNAcentral describes it as "bacterial SSU rRNA". It matches the Rfam family "Bacterial small subunit ribosomal RNA", at positions 19 to 518 of the family's 1533-position model. The record is from RNAcentral.
AUGGCUCAGGACGAACGCUGGCGGCGUGCCUAAUACAUGCAAGUCGAACGGCUUUUCUAUGGAAGCUUGCUUCCACUGAGAAGAUAGUGGCGAACGGGUGAGUAACACGUGGGUAACCUGCCCAUAAGAGGGGGGAUAACAUCCGGAAACGGGUGCUAAUACCGCAUAGUUUUCUUGAUUGCAUGAUUGAGAAAGGAAAGACGGCCUUUGUGCUGUCGCUUAUGGAUGGACCCGCGGCGUAUUAGUUAGUUGGUGAGGUAACGGCUCACCAAGACGAUGAUACGUAGCCGACCUGAGAGGGUGAUCGGCCACAUUGGGACUGAGACACGGCCCAAACUCCUACGGGAGGCAGCAGUAGGGAAUCUUCCGCAAUGGACGAAAGUCUGACGGAGCAACGCCGCGUGAGUGAAGAAGGUUUUCGGAUCGUAAAACUCUGUUGUCAGAGAAGAACAAGUUGGAGAGUAACUGCUCCAGCCUUGACGGUAUCCGACCAGAAAGCCACGGCUAACUACGUGCCAGCCGCCGC